AAUAUACCUAGUAGUGGGGGAUAACAGUUGGAAACGACUGCUAAUACCGCAUACGCCCUUCGGGGGAAAGAUUUAUCGCUAUUAGAUUAUCCCGCGUUAGAUUAGCUAGUUGGUAAGGUAAGAGCUUACCAAGGCGACGAUCUAUAUCUGGUUUGAGAGGAUGAUCAGCCACACUGGGACUGAGACACGGCCCAGACUCCUACGGGAGGCAGCUGUGGGGAAUAUUGCGCAUUGGAGGAAACUCUGACGCAGCCAUGCCGCGUGUGUGAAGAAGGCCUUAGGGUUGUAAAGCACUUUCAGACGUGAUGAUGAUGACAGUAGCGUCAAAAGAAGUUCCGGCUAGCUUCGUGCCAGCAGCCGCGGUAAUACGAAUGGAACUAGCGUUGUUCGGAUUUACUGGGCGUUAUAGAGCAUGUAGGCGGAUUGGAUAUUUG
Molecule: ribosomal RNA, 434 nt
Filed under: uncultured bacterium
Lineage: Bacteria
Description: bacterial SSU rRNA
Rfam family: Bacterial small subunit ribosomal RNA
Source: RNAcentral